Molecule: ribosomal RNA, 550 nt
Filed under: uncultured bacterium
Lineage: Bacteria
Description: partial 16S ribosomal RNA
Rfam family: Bacterial small subunit ribosomal RNA
Source: RNAcentral
UGGGGAAUAUUGGACAAUGGGGGCAACCCUGAUCCAGCCAUGCCGCGUGAGUGAUGAAGGCCUUCGGGUUGUAAAGCUCUUUUGGCGGGGACGAUGAUGACGGUACCCGCAGAAUAAGCCCCGGCUAACUUCGUGCCAGCAGCCGCGGUAAGACGAAGGGGGCUAGCGUUGUUCGGAAUUACUGGGCGUAAAGCGAGUGUAGGCGGUUGCCGUAGUCAGGUGUGAAAGCCUUGAGCUCAACUCAAGAAAUGCACUUGAUACUGGGUGACUAGAGGACCGGAGAGGAUAGUGGAAUUCCCAGUGUAGUGGUGAAAUACGUAGAGAUUGGGAAGAACACCAGUGGCGAAGGCGGCUAUCUGGACGGUUACUGACGCUAAGACUCGAAAGCGUGGGGAGCAAACAGGAUUAGAUACCCUGGUAGUCCACGCCGUAAACGAUGGGUGCUAGACGUUGGCGAGCUUGCUCGUCAGUGUCGCAGCUAACGCGUUAAGCACCCCGCCUGGGGAGUACGGCCGCAAGGUUGAAACUUAAAUGAAUUGACGGGGGUCAU